GAUGAACGCUGGCGGCGUGCCUAAUACAUGCAAGUCGAGCGAACGGACGAGAAGCUUGCUUUUCUGAUGUUAGCGGCGGACGGGUGAGUAACACGUGGAUAACCUACCUAUAAGACUGGGAUAACUUCGGGAAACCGGAGCUAAUACCGGAUAAUAUUUUGAACCGCAUGGUUCAAAAGUGAAAGACGGUCUUGCUGUCACUUAUAGAUGGAUCCGCGCUGCAUUAGCUAGUUGGUAAGGUAACGGCUUACCAAGGCAACGAUGCAUAGCCGACCUGAGAGGGUGAUGGGCCACACUGGAACUGAGACACGGUCCAGACUCCUACGGGAGGCAGCAGUAGGGAAUCUUCCGCAAUGGGCGAAAGCCUGACGGAGCAACGCCGCGUGAGUGAUGAAGGUCUUCGGAUCGUAAAACUCUGUUAUUAGGGAAGAACAUAUGUGUAAGUAACUGUGCACAUCUUGACGGUACCUAAUCAGAAAGCCACGGCUAACUACGUG
RNAcentral lists this ribosomal RNA (497 nucleotides) under uncultured bacterium. RNAcentral describes it as "partial 16S ribosomal RNA". It matches the Rfam family "Bacterial small subunit ribosomal RNA", at positions 28 to 507 of the family's 1533-position model. The record is from RNAcentral.